UGCCUUAAAAGGAGAUGCUGUGCAGUC
This 27-nucleotide small RNA is filed under the name Bombyx mori (domestic silkworm). RNAcentral's name for it is "ovarian small RNA-33885". The record is from RNAcentral. Lineage: Eukaryota; Metazoa; Arthropoda; Insecta; Lepidoptera; Bombycidae.